Molecule: ribosomal RNA, 434 nt
Filed under: uncultured bacterium
Lineage: Bacteria
Description: partial 16S ribosomal RNA
Rfam family: Bacterial small subunit ribosomal RNA
Source: RNAcentral
ACGGAAGGCAGCAGUGGGGGAUAUUGCACAAUGGGGGAAACCCUGAUGCAGCGACGCCGCGUGAGUGAAGAAGUAUUUCGGUACGUAAAGCUCUAUCAGCAGGGAAGAAAAUGACGGUACCUGACUAAGAAGCUCCGGCUAAAUACGUGCCAGCAGCCGCGGUAAUACGUAUGGAGCAAGCGUUAUCCGGAUUUACUGGGUGUAAAGGGAGCGUAGACGGCGAGGCAAGUCUGAUGUGAAAGCCAUGGGCUCAACCCAUGAACUGCAUUGGAAACUGUCUUGCUUGAGUGUCGGAGAGGUAAGCGGAAUUCCUAGUGUAGCGGUGAAAUGCGUAGAUAUUAGGAGGAACACCAGUGGCGAAGGCGGCUUACUGGACGAUAACUGACGUUGAGGCUCGAAAGCGUGGGGAGCAAACAGGAUUAGAUACCCUGGUA